AACGAACGCUGGCGGCAGGCCUAACACAUGCAAGUCGAACGAGAAGCCACCUUCGGGUGGUGGACAGUGGCAGACGGGUGAGUAACGCGUGGGAACGUGCCUUUCGGUUCGGGAUAACCCAGGGAAACUUGGGCUAAUACCGGAUACGCCCUCCGGGGGAAAGAUUCAUCGCCGAAAGAUCGGCCCGCGUCGGAUUAGCUAGUUGGUAGGGUAAUGGCCUACCAAGGCGACGAUCCGUAGCUGGUCUGAGAGGAUGACCAGCCACACUGGGACUGAGACACGGCCCAGACUCCUACGGGAGGCAG
Molecule: ribosomal RNA, 305 nt
Filed under: uncultured Pseudomonadota bacterium
Lineage: Bacteria; Pseudomonadati; Pseudomonadota
Description: bacterial SSU rRNA
Rfam family: Bacterial small subunit ribosomal RNA
Source: RNAcentral